RNAcentral lists this ribosomal RNA (24 nucleotides) under Tuber indicum. RNAcentral's name for it is "partial 18S ribosomal RNA". Lineage: Eukaryota; Fungi; Ascomycota; Pezizomycetes; Pezizales; Tuberaceae. The record is from RNAcentral.
UAGUGAACGUGCGGAAGGAUCAUU